Molecule: ribosomal RNA, 506 nt
Filed under: uncultured bacterium
Lineage: Bacteria
Description: partial 16S ribosomal RNA
Source: RNAcentral
GGAGUUAGCCGGUGCUUCUUCUGUGAGUGAUGUCCUUCCUGCCGGCUAUUAACCCGCAGGCCUUCUUCCUCACUGAAAGUGCUUUACAACCCGAAGGCCUUCUUCACACACGCGGCAUGGCUGGAUCAGGGUUGCCCCCAUUGUCCAAUAUUCCCCACUGCUGCCUCCCGUAGGAGUCUGGGCCGUGUCUCAGUCCCAGUGUGGCUGAUCAUCCUCUCAGACCAGCUACGGAUCGUCGCCUUGGUGAGCCGUUACCUCACCAACCAGCUAAUCCGACAUAGGCUCAUCCGAUAGCGCGAGGCCCGAAGGUCCCCCGCUUUCCCCCGUAGGGCGUAUGCGGUAUUAGCCUGGGUUUCCCCAGGUUAUCCCCCACUACCGGGCAGAUUCCUAUGCAUUACUCACCCGUCCGCCGCUCGCCACCAGGGAGCAAGCUCCCCGUGCUGCCGCUCGACUUGCAUGUGUUAGGCCUGCCGCCAGCGUUCAAUCUGAGCCAUGAUCAAACUCUG